GGGUGAGUAACACGUGGGUAACCUGCCCAAGAGACUGGGAUAACACCUGGAAACAGAUGCUAAUACCGGAUAACAACACUAGACGCAUGUCUAGAGUUUGAAAGAUGGUUCUGCUAUCACUCUUGGAUGGACCUGCGGUGCAUUAGCUAGUUGGUAAGGUAACGGCUUACCAAGGCAAUGAUGCAUAGCCGAGUUGAGAGACUGAUCGGCCACAUUGGGACUGAGACACGGCCCAAACUCCUACGGGAGGCAGCAGUAGGGAAUCUUCCACAAUGGACGAAAGUCUGAUGGAGCAACGCCGCGUGAGUGAAGAAGGGUUUCGGCUCGUAAAGCUCUGUUGGUAGUGAAGAAAGAUAGAGGUAGUAACUGGCCUUUAUUUGACGGUAAUUACUUAGAAAGUCACGGCUAACUACGUGCCAGCAGCCGCGGUAAUACGUAGGUGGCAGGCGUUGUCCGGAUUUAUUGGGCGUAAAGCGAGUGCAGGCGGUUCAAUAAGUCUGAUGUGAAAGCCUUCGGCUCAACCGGAGAAUUGCAUCAGAAACUGUUGAACUUGAGUGCAGAAGAGGAGAGUGGAACUCCAUGUGUAGCGGUGGAAUGCGUAGAUAUAUGGAAGAACACCAGUGGCGAAGGCGGCUCUCUGGUCUGCAACUGACGCUGAGGCUCGAAAGCAUGGGUAGCGAACAGGAUUAGAUACCCUGGUAGUCCAUGCCGUAAACGAU
This 719-nucleotide ribosomal RNA is filed under the name uncultured bacterium. RNAcentral's name for it is "bacterial SSU rRNA". It matches the Rfam family "Bacterial small subunit ribosomal RNA", at positions 104 to 810 of the family's 1533-position model. The record is from RNAcentral.